GGCCCUUGAAGUGGAGAUUUCGUGUCAUCCAUACGCCCACGUGGUCAAAAGAGAUGCAGGGGAACGGCACGCCUGCCAAGGGCU
RNAcentral lists this non-coding RNA (84 nucleotides) under unclassified sequences. Its description in RNAcentral is "skipping-rope RNA". It matches the Rfam family "skipping-rope RNA". Rfam says of the family: Firmicutes, Fusobacteria, AlphaProteobacteria, Spirochaetes. Downstream gene The record is from Rfam by way of RNAcentral.